GCCCGGCUAGCUCAAUCGGUAGAGCGUGUGACUCUUACUUCAUCGCAUCGAAAGAUCUGAUGUGCUAGUUCCAAUCACAAGGUUGGGGGUUCGACCCCCCCGUUGGGCU
This is a non-coding RNA of Ciborinia camelliae, 109 nucleotides long. NCBI's taxonomy places the organism in Eukaryota, Fungi, Ascomycota, Leotiomycetes, Helotiales, Sclerotiniaceae. The record is from the annotation of a GenBank genome assembly.